Molecule: small nuclear RNA, 102 nt
Organism: Dromiciops gliroides (monito del monte)
Lineage: Eukaryota; Metazoa; Chordata; Mammalia; Microbiotheria; Microbiotheriidae
Source: RefSeq, a predicted model, not a curated record
GUGCUCGCUUGGGCAGCACAUAUACUACAACUGGAACAGUACAGAGAAGAUUAGCAUGUCCCCUGCGCAAGGAUGACAGGCAAAUUCAUGAAGAAAUAUUUU